RNAcentral lists this ribosomal RNA (429 nucleotides) under Chloroflexota bacterium. Its description in RNAcentral is "Chloroflexi bacterium partial 16S ribosomal RNA". It matches the Rfam family "Bacterial small subunit ribosomal RNA", at positions 355 to 776 of the family's 1533-position model. The record is from RNAcentral. Lineage: Bacteria; Bacillati; Chloroflexota.
UGGGGAAUAUUGCACAAUGGGCGCAAGCCUGAUGCAGCCAUGCCGUGUGUAUGAAGAAGGCCUUCGGGUUGUAAAGUCCUUUCAGUGGGGAGGAAGGGAGUAAAGUUAAUACCUUUGCUUAUUGACGUUACCCGCAGAAGAAGCACCGGCUAACUCCGUGCCAGCAGCCGCCGUAAUACGGAGGGUGCAAGCGUUAAUCGGAAUUACUGGGCGUAAAGCGCACGCAGGCGGUUUGUUAAGUCAGAUGUGAAAUCCCCGGGCUCAACCUGGGAACUGCUUCGGAUACUGGCAAGCAUGGGUCUCGUAGAGGGGGGUAGAAUUCCAGGUGUGGCGGUGAAAUGCGUGGGGAUCUGGGGGAAUACCGGUGGCGAAGGCGGCCCCCUGGACGAAGAUUGACGCUCAGGUGCGAAGGGGUGGGGAGCAAAAAGG